RNAcentral lists this long non-coding RNA (210 nucleotides) under Mytilus galloprovincialis (Mediterranean mussel). The record is from RNAcentral. Lineage: Eukaryota; Metazoa; Mollusca; Bivalvia; Mytilida; Mytilidae.
AUUCAAUUUGGGAAUGUGAGGUUUAAGUAUAAUGACGUCACCAAAACUCUUCAUUCGAGCGUUGGAGUUUCCAAAAUGAAAUUUUCAAAUGUACAAUAAACAUAUUGAUCAUAAUCUCUGUAUAAAUAAAAAGAGAAAUUGAUACACAGCACUGCAUUUACAUCUACAUAAUACUUUUUAACUUCAAUAUGUUUAAGAUUACAAGAAGGC